CGUGCAGGCGGUUCGAGCAGUCGGACGUGAAAGCUCCCGGCCCAACUGGGAGAGGCCGUUCGAAACUAGCGAACUAGAGGAUGGUAGAGGCAAGUGGAAUUCCCGGUGUAGUGGUGAAAUGCGUAGAUAUCGGGAGGAACACCAGCGGCGAAAGCGGCUUGCUGGGCCAGCCCUGACGCUCAGACGCGAAAGCCAGGGGAGAGAACG
RNAcentral lists this ribosomal RNA (207 nucleotides) under uncultured bacterium. RNAcentral describes it as "partial 16S ribosomal RNA". It matches the Rfam family "Bacterial small subunit ribosomal RNA", at positions 568 to 774 of the family's 1533-position model. The record is from RNAcentral.